GCCGCGGUAAUUCCAGCUCCAAUAGCGUAUACUAAAGUUGUUGCGGUUAAAAAGCUCGUAGUUGGAUCUUGGAAUGUGUUCAAGCGGGUCAGCUUCUGGCUGUGCGCUGCUUGACGUGUUCUUCUAUUUGGUUUUGGUGCGGUGCGCUUAACUGCGUGUCGCUCCCGGCCGAAACGUUUACCUUGAAAAAAUUAGAGUGUUCAAAGCAGACCUGUUUGAGUCUGAAUAUUCGUGCAUGGAAUAAUGAAAUAUGAAUUCGGUUCUAUUUUGUUGGUUUUCGGAACUCGAGUUAAUGAUCAAGAGGGACAGACGGGGGCAUUCGUACUCUGCCGUUAGAGGUGAAAUUCUUGGAUCGGCGGAAGACGCGCAACUGCGAAAGCAUUUGCCAAGAAUGUUUUCUUUAAUCAAGAACGAUAGUCGGAGGUUCGAAGACGAUCAGAUACCGUCCUAGUUUCGACUGUAAACUAUGCCAGCUAACGAUCAGACAGAGUUCUCUACGACUUGUCUGGCAGUUUCCGGGAAACCAAAGCGUUUGGGUUCCGGGGGAAGUAUGGUUGCAAAGCUGAAACUUAAAGGAAUUGACGGAAGGGCACCACCAGGAGUGGAGCCUGCGGCUUAAUUUGACUCAACACGGGGAAACUCACCCGGCCCGGACACAGUGAGGAUUGACAGAUUGAGAGUUCUUUCUUGAUUCUGUGGGUGGUGGUGCAUGGCCGUUCUUAGUUGGUGGAGCGAUUUGUCUGGUUAAUUCCGAUAACGAACGAGACUCUGGCAUGUUAAAUAGUCGCGGAAGUGCGUAUGCACUUGCCGAAUUGACUUCUUAGAGGGACUAGUGAUUUUAAUUCACACGAGAUUGGAGCAAUAACAGGUCUGUGAUGC
Molecule: ribosomal RNA, 879 nt
Filed under: uncultured eukaryote
Lineage: Eukaryota
Description: SSU rRNA
Rfam family: Eukaryotic small subunit ribosomal RNA
Source: RNAcentral